This 1273-nucleotide ribosomal RNA is filed under the name Penturoperla barbata. RNAcentral's name for it is "partial 28S ribosomal RNA". It matches the Rfam family "Eukaryotic large subunit ribosomal RNA", at positions 24 to 1895 of the family's 3401-position model. Lineage: Eukaryota; Metazoa; Arthropoda; Insecta; Plecoptera; Austroperlidae. The record is from RNAcentral.
UCCCGCGUAAUUUAAGCAUAUUAAUAAGCGGAGGAAAAGAAACUAACAAGGAUUCCCCUAGUAGCUGCGAGCGAACAGGGAGGAGCCCAGCACCGAAUCCUGCGCGCCCGCCGGCACGUCUGGAAAUGUGGUGUUUGGGAGGAUCCGAUCAUCUCGCCCGGGUACGCCGGUCCAAGUCCAUCUUGAAAGCGGCCACAGCCCACAGAGGGUGCCAGGCCCGUAGGACGGCGGUCGCAUCCGGGCGAAAGGGUCUCUNNNNNNNNNNNNNNNNNNNNNNNNNNNNNNNNNNNNNNNNNNNNNNNNNNUGUGCGCGAGUCAUUGGGACGCGCACGAAGCCUAAAGGCGUAACGAAAGUGAAGGCCGGCAGCGGCGACGCGCGCGCCCACGGGCGCGCGCGCCCGCCCUCCGCCGAGGGGGGAUGCGACCCGUCCGCAAGCGACGUCGGCCGCCGCACCCCAGGGGCGUCUCGUUGUCAUUGCGACACAGCAGGCGCACCAAGAGCGUACACGUUGGGACCCGAAAGAUGGUGAACUGGCGCUCGGAGACGUUAUAAACGCGGAGCCGGAGCGCACCCCCUUUCGGGGGGGCCUGCGCCGAGCCCGCACGGAACCAGUCUCAUCUGGUAAAGCGAAUGAUUAGAGGCCUUGGGGCCGAAACGACCUCAACCUAUUCUCAAACUUUAAAUGGGUGAGAAAUUCGACUUGCUCGAACCCCGAUGAAGUCGAAUAAUAUUGUAUAUGAACGGAUGAACGAGUGCCAAGUGGGCCAAUUUUGGUAAGCAGAACUGGUGCUGUGGGAUGAACCAAACGUCGAGUUAAGGCGCCUAAAUCGAUGCUCAUGGGAUACCAUGAAAGGCGUUGGUUGCUUAAGACAGCAGCGAUGUUGAUGUGCAGUCGUACGAAAAACAAUGUUUGUGUGAAUGACCACGUCGGGCGAAAGGGAAUCCGGUUCCUAUUCCGGAACCCGGCAGCGGAACCGACCAUGCGGGCCAAUGUCGCGCGAGCGGCAACUCGUCGGGGUAACCCAAAAGGACCCGGAGACGCCGUCGGAUGAUCGAGGCAGAGUUUUCUGUUCUGUAUGAGCGUUCGAGUUCCAUGGAAUCGCCUAGCGCGGAGAUAUGGUUUGGAACGCGAAGAGCACCGCACUUGCGGCGGUGUCUCGAUCUAUCCCUCGGACCUUGAAAAUCCGGGAGAGGGCCACGUGGAGGUGUCGCGCCGGUUCGUACCCAUAUCCGCAGCAGGUCUCCAAGGUGAGGAGCCUCUAGUCGAUAGAA